CCCCGGUUCACCCUCCCGUUGGAUCUUUCUGUUUUCAGCCGGAAUCUCAUUAUCGCCGAUAGGUCCCCGCCCUUUCUCUAACAACUUUUUUAAAAAAAUGAAUAAAUAAAUAAAAAUAUAUGGCAUUUUAACCUUGAGCAAAUUACGGCUGGUCCUAUAAAAUAGCUCAACUUUCGGUAUAUGCCUCAAAUCUCUGCUUCAUUUUUUCUGUCUUUUUACUCUCUUAUCUAUCAAAAGAGCUAUUCUUCACUCCUCUUUGCGUUCUUUUCCCUUUUCCUUUUUCUUUUCCGUUUCCCUUUCUUUCUUUUAAGAAUUUUCUUUUUCUUUAUGUUUCCUGGAGAAAGUACUGUAUAUCAUCAGAAAGCAAUUUGUGUUCUUAGUUUCUUUUAGGGUUUGGUUUUGAAAGUUACCCAAAAUAGCAAGUCUGUGCUCUGUCAAGUGACUAAGAAAAGGCACUGUCUAGUGGUUUUUUUUUGCUCGCGGCAUCUUCCCUUUUUCUUUUAUCCUCUGCAACUUUUACCUACAGUUUUCUUUCUUUUCUUCUUUUUCUUCGCUCCGUUCUCCCACUACUGGUUUUUGCCAUCGGGGUGCUUUCCGUACUGCUUGUUUAAGCGCACUAUCGUUUUUUUGGGGAUAACUUUCCUUGAAAUUUCUCGUGCUCUUAAGUACUUUUUGAGUAAAACUUUUAACAGAUUAAUGGUGGGCUUCUCUUCAUUUCCAGCUUCUCAUUAACGUGUUCAUUGUUCAGCUUUCCUUUUUAGCCCUUUAUUCUCCUGGUGUCAAGUCUCAAAGGAAUCCCUUCUUUUCCCUCCGCUUUUAUUUGACUCCCCUUCCCACUCUCUCUCAAUGAGACCAAGUAAUAGAAGUUGAAAACCUGCAUAUAC
RNAcentral lists this long non-coding RNA (884 nucleotides) under Gossypium barbadense (sea-island cotton). Its description in RNAcentral is "long non-coding RNA (GBAR_LNC007315)". Lineage: Eukaryota; Viridiplantae; Streptophyta; Magnoliopsida; Malvales; Malvaceae. The record is from RNAcentral.